Molecule: non-coding RNA, 101 nt
Filed under: Thermoclostridium stercorarium
Lineage: Bacteria; Bacillati; Bacillota; Clostridia; Eubacteriales; Oscillospiraceae
Also listed under: 1 other name
Description: Clostridium stercorarium THF-I sequence
Rfam family: THF (Tetrahydrofolate) riboswitch aptamer
About the family: THF riboswitch presents a pseudoknot that joins P1-P2 and the loop of P3 and two THF binding.
Source: RNAcentral
AGCAGAGUAGGCGUUUGUGCGUUAAGUGCCGGGUGAACGGGGAGUUGACACCCGGACGAAAAGCCGGAAGGCUUGCGGUACAGGCGCCGCAUCCCGCUGCU